Long non-coding RNA from Zingiber officinale, 1181 nucleotides. RefSeq lists it as uncharacterized. The transcript has 2 exons. NCBI's taxonomy places the organism in Eukaryota, Viridiplantae, Streptophyta, Magnoliopsida, Zingiberales, Zingiberaceae. The record is from RefSeq and is a predicted model, not a curated record.
AUAAGAAUGACUAUUUCGGUACCAGUGACCGCUACAAAGCGUAGACUUUGUUUUUAUCGAGUCAAAUCGCAUGGAAAUUAUCUUCCUCCUCGCUCUCGAUGCCAGCGCGUUGGAACCCUAAAAGCCCCAUCGAUAGGAACAAGAUGCGGGUUUUGGCGAGUCUCACAUGGCGUCUUUUACUCCGCCUCCUCCUAUCGAGAAGAAUGACGUGAAGCCCUAGCGGCAGCAAGUCUCCCUCUGGAUCACAUGGGGGACCUGUUCCUGCCUCUUCGGCCCAGAUAAAGAGGCACGCUGCUUCUGUCAAUCUUCUCGUAAUCUCUUUCAUCUUUAUUUGAAAUUUUCACUAUCUAUUUCAUCAUUUAUCUUUUUUUUUUUUCAUUGGUAUCUAGCUAUUUCGUCAUUUCUCGUUAAACAAUGUGAAAGGGAUCAAUCCGUAUAUCAGGUUGGUGUAUAUAGUUGCCACAGAUUACGACUCUGAGUUGAUAUCGACUUCUAAAGAACAUUAGGCGAGAUAUCUUUCUUUGCUCAAAGUAUCCAACUUUCACAUGUAGCGUUUUUACCCAUUCACAGUUUGCAACUCUUGAUCUUCUAUGACUUGUUUCUAAAACCGGAUUCUUUGGUUCUUUUAUCCUUAAUUAAUCCUCCUGCAGUUAUCAAUAAAUAGAAAUUCUGUUCAAACUUCUAGUUUGUUGUGCUCUGCCUCCUCAGAUGAUCAACCUUUUAUGGGCUACAAUGAAAUUAGGCGUCCCAAAAUUCCUUUAACCAAAAACUAGUCGAAAAAAAAGAGACUCCAGGGGAUGUAAGUCUCUAUCAAUAUAAUUUAACCAAAAACUGCUUAAAUUAUUAUCGUAAGAGCAGUAGAGAUUGGCUAUCUGAUUCUAUAGAAUUUUUCUUCCAGUCUAUUUAUGGACUCACACUUCUUAUGAGCGAUAGUUCUAAGAAACUGCUUGACAUUCAUAUUCUUGGUGAACAAGGAAGGCGUCUUGUUUCAACUUCACUGGCCAAGAAUCGUGAGUUUCUUUCUGACCCACAGUAAUGAGAGAUAGGUGCUUUAACCAAAAGCUGGUGAAAACAAGGCUCCAAGGCAUGUAAGGGCAUCUCCAAUACAUGAUUUAUGAUUUAUGAGAGAUUUGUAAAAUCAAAAAAGUUAAAUAAAAAUCCUUGAACUAUUAUAGAGGUAA